This 253-nucleotide ribosomal RNA is filed under the name uncultured bacterium. RNAcentral describes it as "partial 16S ribosomal RNA". It matches the Rfam family "Bacterial small subunit ribosomal RNA", at positions 524 to 776 of the family's 1533-position model. The record is from RNAcentral.
GACGAACCGAGCGAACGUUGUUCGGAAUCCCUGGGCUUAAAGGGCGCGCAGGCGGGCGGUCAAGUCAGGGGUGAAAGCCCCCAGCUCAACUGGGGAAGUGCCUCUGAUACUGGCCGUCUCGAGGGGGAUAGGGGCGUGCGGAACUUCCGGUGGAGCGGUGAAAUGCGUAGAUAUCGGAAGGAACAUCGGUGGCGAAAGCGGCGCGCUGGGUCCCUUCUGACGCUGAGGCGCGAAAGCCAGGGGAGCGAACGGG